GAAGGGGGCUAGCGUUGUUCGGAAUUACUGGGCGUAAAGCGCGUGUAGGCGGUUUGCCAAGUUGGGUGUGAAAGCCUUGAGCUCAACUCAAGAAAUGCAUUCAGUACUGGCAGACUAGAGGACCGGAGAGGAUAGUGGAAUUCCCAGUGUAGUGGUGAAAUACGUAGAGAUUGGGAAGAACACCAGUGGCGAAGGCGGCUAUCUGGACGGUUUCUGACGCUAAGACGCGAAAGCGUGGGGAGCAAACAGGAUUAGAUACCCUGGUAGUCCACGCCGUAAACGAUGGGUGCUAGACGUUGGCGAGCUUGCUCGUCAGUGUCGCAGCUAACGCGUUAAGCACCCCGCCUGGGGAGUACGGCCGCAUGGUU
This 368-nucleotide ribosomal RNA is filed under the name uncultured bacterium. Its description in RNAcentral is "bacterial SSU rRNA". It matches the Rfam family "Bacterial small subunit ribosomal RNA", at positions 527 to 895 of the family's 1533-position model. The record is from RNAcentral.